AUAUCAAUUUUAUACAGAAUAAAAUAAAAAAAGAAGUUUCUAUUAUUUUGGUUUAGCAUCAAUUUUUAUUUCAUUACAGUACAAUACUGACUUACACUACUCUUACAUGAAGUUCAAAUUCUCUGAAACCUUAUAACUUUAAAAAAGAUCACAGAAAUAAAAAGAAUGUAUAUCCUUUAUUCAAAACAAAGCUUGAUAUGUCUUAUUAAAUAAAGCAUACUAUUCAAACCAUUACUGCCUUAA
Long non-coding RNA from Perognathus longimembris pacificus (Pacific pocket mouse), 243 nucleotides. RefSeq lists it as uncharacterized. The record is from RefSeq and is a predicted model, not a curated record. Lineage: Eukaryota; Metazoa; Chordata; Mammalia; Rodentia; Heteromyidae. The transcript is spliced from 3 exons.